AUUGAACGCUGGCGGCAGGCCUAACACAUGCAAGUCGAGCGGAAGAAGGGAGCUUGCUCCUGGAUUCAGCGGCGGACGGGGGAGUAAUGCCUAUGAAUCUGCCGGGUUGGGCGGGAUAACGUCCGGAAACGGGCGCUAAUACUGCAUACGUCGUGAUGGAGAAAGUGGGGGAUCUUCGGACCUCACGCUAUCAGGUGGGCCUAGGUCGGGCUAGUUAGUUGGUUGGUUGAAGGCCUACUAAGGCGACGAUCCGUAACUGGCCGGAGAGAAUGAUUGGUCACACGGGAGCUGGGACACGGACAUGACUCCUACGGGAGGCAGCAGUGGGCAAUGUUAGACAGUAGGCGAAAGCAUGAUACAGCGAUGCGGCGUGUGUGAAGAAGGUCUUCGGAUUGUAAAGCAGUUUUAGUGGGGGGGAAGGGCAGUAGGUUAAGACCUUGCUGUUUUGACGGUACCAGCAGAAUAAGCACCGGCUAACUACGUG
This 484-nucleotide ribosomal RNA is filed under the name uncultured bacterium. Its description in RNAcentral is "partial 16S ribosomal RNA". It matches the Rfam family "Bacterial small subunit ribosomal RNA", at positions 30 to 507 of the family's 1533-position model. The record is from RNAcentral.